GCCGGAAGUGGCUGAGCCCGAGCUGCCGAGAAAAGCCUCUAGCGAGGUAUGCGUGACCGUACCGCAAACCGACACAGGUAGAUGGGUAGAGAAUACCAAGGCGAACGGGAGAACCCUUGUUAAGGAAUUAGGCAAAUUAAGUCCGUAACUUAGGGAAAAGGACUGCCACUGGUUGUGAGGGCGACUAGCUUGUCUGAGCGAUUGGUGGUCGCAGCGAAAUGGCUCUGCCGACUGUUUAACAAAAACACAGGUCUCUGCGAAAGCGAAAGCUGACGUAUAGGGGCUGACGCCUGCCCAGUGCCGGAAGGUUAAGGGGAGAGGUGAUGAGCUUUGAACCGAAGCCCCGGUGAACGGCGGCCGUAACUAUAACGGUCCUAAGGUAGCGAAAUUCCUUGUCGGGUAAGUUCCGACCCGCACGAAAGGCGUAACGAGCAGAGCACUGUCUCAACAAGGGACCCGGCGAAGUUGAAAUAGCGGUGAAGAUGCCGUUUACCCGCAGCAGGACAAAAAGACCCCGUGGAGCUUUACUGUAGCUUGACAUUGAGUUAGGGCUUUGUCUGUGUAGGAUAGGUGGGAGGCUAAGAAGCUGGUCCGCUAGGAUCGGUGGAGUCGACGUUGAAAUACCACCCUGAUGGAGUCUUGGCUCUAACCUGUGGCCCUGAUCGGGCAUGGGGACAGUGUCUGGUAGGCAGUUUGACUGGGGCGGUCGCCUCCUAAAGAGUAACGGAGGCGCCCAAAGGUACCCUCAGGCUGAAUGGAAACCAGCCGUAGAGUGUAAAGGCAUAAGGGAGCUUGACUGCGAGACAAACAAGUCGAGCAGAGACGAAAGUCGGGCCUAGUGAUCCUACGGUUCCGAGUGGAAGGGCCGUGGCUUAACGGACAAAAGCUACCCCGGGGAUAACAGGCUGAUCUCCUCCAAGAGUUCACAUCGACGAGGAGGUUUAGCACCUCGAUGUCGGCUCGUCGCAUCCUGGGGCUGAAGUAGGUCCCAAGGGUCCGGCUGUUCGCCGGUUAAAGCGGUACGCGAGCUGGGUUCAGACCGUCGUGAGACAGGUCGGUCUCUAUCCGCUGUGGGCGAAGGGGAUUUGGGAGGGGCUGCCCCUAGUACGAGAGGACCGGGGUGGACAGACCGCUGGUGUACCAGUUGUCUCGCCAGAGGCAUUGCUGGGUAGCAAGUCUGGCAGCGAUAACCGCUGAAAGCAUCUAAGUGGGAAACGCGCCUCAAGAUGAGAUCCCCCACUGUAAAAGGGUAAGUGCACCGGGAGACUACCGGUUAGAUAGGCGGCAGGUGUACGCACUGUGAGGUGUUGAGCCGAGCCGUACUAAUGCACGAGGACUUAAUCC
RNAcentral lists this ribosomal RNA (1344 nucleotides) under metagenome. RNAcentral's name for it is "bacterial LSU rRNA". It matches the Rfam family "Bacterial large subunit ribosomal RNA", at positions 1583 to 2925 of the family's 2925-position model. The record is from RNAcentral.